This 533-nucleotide ribosomal RNA is filed under the name Hadrogryllacris sp. MCJ-2002. RNAcentral's name for it is "partial 16S ribosomal RNA". It matches the Rfam family "Archaeal large subunit ribosomal RNA", at positions 1901 to 2681 of the family's 2987-position model. The record is from RNAcentral. Lineage: Eukaryota; Metazoa; Arthropoda; Insecta; Orthoptera; Gryllacrididae.
AUCAAAAACAUGUCUUUUUUGUUUACAAUUCUAAAGUCUGUCCUGCCCACUGAAUUUUUGAAGGGCCGCGGUAUUUUGACCGUGCAAAGGUAGCAUAAUCAUUAGUCUUUUAAUUGGAGACUGGAAUGAAUGGUUGGACGAAGUAUUAACUGUCUCGUAAUAAAAAUUUGAAUUUAACUUCUUAGUAAAAAGGCUAAGAUUGAUAUAAGGGACGAGAAGACCCUAUAAAGUUUUAUAUAAUUUUAUUUUAUAUUAUAUUUAGAAUGAUACUUAAAUAAAAUAAAAUUAUAUUUGGUUGGGGUGACUUGAAGAAUUUUUAAACUCUUUAUUAUUUAAAACUUUGAUGUAAGGAUUAUUGAUCCAAUAUUAUUGAUUAUAAGAUCAAAUUACUUUAGGGAUAACAGCGUAAUUUUCUUUAAGAGUUCUUAUCGACAAGAAAGAUUGCGACCUCGAUGUUGAAUUAAGGUAUAUUAAUGGGUGCAUCAGUUCAUAWUUAAUUCUGUUCGACUUUUUAUCCUUAACAUGAUCUGAGU